CCCUUAGAUGUUCUGAGCUGCACGCGCGCUACACUGACGCACGCAACAGGUGCCUGCUCCGAGAGGACUGGGUAAUCAUUUGAGUGUGCGUCGUGAUGGGGAUAGAAUAUUGUAAUUAUUACUCUUCAACGAGGAAUUCCUAGUAAGCGCCAGUCAGCAGCUUGCGCUGAUUACGUCCCUGCCCUUUGUACACACCGCCCGUCGCUCCUACCGAUGGGUGAUCCGGUGAAUGAUUCGGACUUCAGCGGCUCCCCUGGGGUGCGCCGGAGAAAGUUUUGUGAACCUUAUCACUUGGAGGAAGGAGAAGUCGUAACA
Molecule: ribosomal RNA, 315 nt
Filed under: uncultured eukaryote
Lineage: Eukaryota
Description: partial 18S ribosomal RNA
Rfam family: Eukaryotic small subunit ribosomal RNA
Source: RNAcentral